UAUGGUAAGUUGCAAACAUGGGCACCUUGAAUCGGAUCAAAUGCGGGGAAAGAUGUGGAUCCAGAGAGACUCCCAGUGCCACAAAGCUUUAGUGGAUAUAGUUCUCGAUAAGAGGUGGCAGAAAGAUGUUCACAACUAUCUGCGAUUCAGAUCAACUGCAGACCUAGAGUCAUUCCAGAAUCAUAUCCUGAUGUAUGCCAGCAAGCGCUACGCUUUCAGCCACCCAGUUUAUGAGGCAAGAGUUCUGCUUGCUGCUUUGGACUACAAUUUCCACCGGAACCGACCAACAAUGAAAACGUUGGACGGCAAAGAGAUGUACGUUUUACACUUGUAUAAUAUUCCCAUUCAUAGUACAAUAUUCAAUAUUCUGCUAAGUCCACUGUGACCAGCGCAUAUUAUUUUCAUUAGGUAGCCUAAAUUACAGUUUACAAUUUGAACAGUAAUGAUAAGUAAGGCUACAGCUGUCCCCUAUUAUGUAAAUGUAAAUAACAAAAAUUGGUAUUGGAAAUGUUAUGGCAAAGUUUGAAAUUCUAAACACAUGUUCAAAUGUAUAUAAUGAAAAUAAAAACACCAUGUGCUUCUA
Long non-coding RNA from Micropterus salmoides (largemouth bass), 583 nucleotides. RefSeq lists it as uncharacterized. NCBI's taxonomy places the organism in Eukaryota, Metazoa, Chordata, Actinopteri, Centrarchiformes, Centrarchidae. The record is from RefSeq and is a predicted model, not a curated record. The transcript is spliced from 2 exons.